RNAcentral lists this ribosomal RNA (442 nucleotides) under uncultured bacterium. Its description in RNAcentral is "partial 16S ribosomal RNA". It matches the Rfam family "Bacterial small subunit ribosomal RNA", at positions 338 to 795 of the family's 1533-position model. The record is from RNAcentral.
CCUACGGGAGGCAGCAGUGGGGGAUAUUGCACAAUGGGGGAAACCCUGAUGCAGCGACGCCGCGUGGGCGAAGAAGUAUUUCGGUAUGUAAAGCCCUAUCAGCAGGGAAGAAGAAAUGACGGUACCUGAGUAAGAAGCACCGGCUAAAUACGUGCCAGCGGCCGCGGUAAUACGUAUGGUGCAAGCGUUAUCCGGAUUUACUGGGGGUAAAGGGAGCGCAGGCGGCACGGCAAGCCUGAUGUGAAAGCCCGCGGCCCAACCGCGGGACUGCAUUGGGAACUACCGGGCUGGAGUGCCGGAGAGGUAGGCGGAAUUCCUAGUGUAGCGGUGAAAUUCGUAGAUAGUAGGAGGAACACCAGUGGCGAAGGCGGCCUACUGGACGGUGACUGACGCUGAGGCUCGAAAGCGUGGGAAGCAAACAGGAUUAGAUACCCUAGUAGUC